AACUAAUGAACUUGAACAAGUAUGUAUUUUGAAAAUACAAAAAAGAAGUAAAGUCUUCUAUUAGUUU
RNAcentral lists this transfer RNA (67 nucleotides) under Cteniopinus ruber. Its description in RNAcentral is "tRNA-Ser". Lineage: Eukaryota; Metazoa; Arthropoda; Insecta; Coleoptera; Tenebrionidae. The record is from RNAcentral.